This 526-nucleotide ribosomal RNA is filed under the name Streptomyces diastaticus. RNAcentral's name for it is "bacterial SSU rRNA". It matches the Rfam family "Bacterial small subunit ribosomal RNA", at positions 100 to 639 of the family's 1533-position model. The record is from RNAcentral. Lineage: Bacteria; Bacillati; Actinomycetota; Actinomycetes; Kitasatosporales; Streptomycetaceae.
GACCGGGUGAGUAACACGUGGGCAAUCUGCCCUGCACUCUGGGACAAGCCCUGGAAACGGGGUCUAAUACCGGAUACUGACCUGCCAAGGCAUCUUGGCGGGUCGAAAGCUCCGGCGGUGCAGGAUGAGCCCGCGGCCUAUCAGCUUGUUGGUGAGGUAAUGGCUCACCAAGGCGACGACGGGUAGCCGGCCUGAGAGGGCGACCGGCCACACUGGGACUGAGACACGGCCCAGACUCCUACGGGAGGCAGCAGUGGGGAAUAUUGCACAAUGGGCGCAAGCCUGAUGCAGCGACGCCGCGUGAGGGAUGACGGCCUUCGGGUUGUAAACCUCUUUCAGCAGGGAAGAAGCGAAAGUGACGGUACCUGCAGAAGAAGCGCCGGCUAACUACGUGCCAGCAGCCGCGGUAAUACGUAGGGCGCAAGCGUUGUCCGGAAUUAUUGGGCGUAAAGAGCUCGUAGGCGGCUUGUCGCGUCGGUUGUGAAAGCCCGGGGCUUAACCCCGGGUCUGCAGUCGAUACGGGCAG